RNAcentral lists this transfer RNA (74 nucleotides) under Clostridium fallax. RNAcentral describes it as "tRNA-Ala(tgc)". It matches the Rfam family "tRNA". From Rfam's summary of the family: Transfer RNA (tRNA) molecules are approximately 80 nucleotides in length. Their secondary structure includes four short double-helical elements and three loops (D, anti-codon, and T loops). Lineage: Bacteria; Bacillati; Bacillota; Clostridia; Eubacteriales; Clostridiaceae. The record is from RNAcentral.
UGGGGUAUAGCUCAGCUGGGAGAGCACCUGCCUUGCACGCAGGGGGUCAGGAGUUCGAAUCUCUUACCUCCACC